RNAcentral lists this long non-coding RNA (3647 nucleotides) under Citrus x clementina. RNAcentral's name for it is "Citrus clementina (C. clementina) long non-coding RNA (CCLE_LNC002671)". The record is from RNAcentral. Lineage: Eukaryota; Viridiplantae; Streptophyta; Magnoliopsida; Sapindales; Rutaceae.
UUUUUUUCCUCUAAAUCAUUUUUUUAAAAAAAAAUCUAACAUGACCCGAACCGAAUUAAAACUACCGAGCUCGAAUUCUUAAAAUCGAACCAACAUUCAAUUUUGAGAGAAAUCGAACUAAUUCAAGAUAAGGUUAGCUCGUUUGAAGGACUAUUUUGUCCACCCCUACAUUAAAUUAAAAAAAUUCAGUUCGAUUUUAUGAAGAAUAUAAUAAAAUAAAAAUCUAUCAACAAAAAAGGUUAGAUAGUUAGAAGCACUAAAACGAGAGGUGACAAAAUGGGUUGUGAUGCGAUUACAUGGCAUGGAUACAGCAUGAUUUUUUUCGUAUUCGUGCUAACAAAUAUUGAUAUGAUUAAUAAAUGAAAUGACACAACAUGACAUGAUAAAUAAUCAUGUCAUAUUAAUGUUGGACUACAUCACCAUGAUUACAUCUUUAUGAUACGAGUAUCAACUAAUACGUGGUAUAUUGUUAAAAAAAUUAACUAAUUAUAUUAAACACUGAAUUAAUUACUCAUAUCAUAUCCAUAUUGUGUGAUAAAUUUAUUUAUGUCAUGUUAACUUAUUUAUAACCUAUUUUUAAGAAUAAUGUUGACAUACUUGUUAUUUUUUAAAAUAAUUUUUUUAUUUUUUAUUAAAUAAAUUAAAUGAGUCAACACGAUUAAUAUGGUUAAUAAACUGAUCGUAUCUGUGUUUUGAUGUUUUGAUACGAUAAGUAAAUAGGUAAUACAACAUUUAUUUAAAUUUAACGCAACAUAAUUACAUGAAUUGACACACCUAACUAAAAUUAUUUUUUUUUUCAAUAAACAAAAUGGGUUACCCAAUUAAUGCCUAUAUAUUUAUAUAUUUUUUGGGACCACAUUCCUUGCCUUUUGAAAAUACAUGGAAAAUUGAUUGUGUAGACCCCAGGCAAUGCCCAUGUUCAUUUAUGUAGGCCCAUUUUAGUAUUAUUGUAAUUUUUAAAAUAACUAUUGUUAUCGUGUGCUACAGAAAUAAUCAGUUAUGAUGAGAAUUAAAUAAACGUUUAAUAAAAUUUAUUUUUAAAAUUGUUACGAGUUUUAAAAACAAUCAAAUGUGUUUAAUAAAUCUUAUUAUUAAAUUGUUGUAAGACUAUACAUAAUUGAAUUGCACAUAGUGUUGAAUAAAAUUAAUUUACGCACGUAUAAACAUGUAUAUAAAUUUUUUCUAUUGUGUAUAUAUAUUAAUUGAUAACUAGAAUAAGUAUCUUAUGCUUUUUUAUUUUGUAUCUCAAUAAUAAUAAUAAUAAUAAUAAUAAUAAUAAUAAUAAUAAUAAUAAUAAUCUCUUUAAAUUCAAUACUUUUAUUUCUUAAUUAAUAAGGAUAAUUUUAAAUUUUUUAUGUGAGGACAUACAUAAAAUUGCAUUAAAUAUAAAACUGAUUCUCAAAAUUAAUGAUACUUUGGUAUUGUCUCAAUCAAAGUAUAUAAAAGAUCUACUUUCAAAGUUUGAUUUGAAAAAGUGCAAUGGAGAUGAUACACCUCUGGCCACAACAGAAAAACUUAGCAAAAACAUGGGUGAAGACUUUACUGAUGCAACUCAAUACAUAAAAGCAAUUGGAGGAUUACAGUAUGUAGAAUUAACAAGGAUAGAAAUUGCAUAUGCAGUUAAUAAGUUAAGUCAAUUCAUGGCUAAUCCUUUACAACCUCACUAGCUGGCCUUCAAACGAGUACUGAGGUAUCUCAAGGAAACUAUAGACUAUGGUUUGACUUUCAGAAAAUCUGAUUUUCUAGAUCUUGUAAUAUACACUGAUGCAGAUUGGGGCAGUGACAUUGAUGACAGAAGAUCAACUAGUGGCUACUGUGUGUACUUAGGUGAAAAUUUAAUCAGCUAUAGUUCAAAGAAGCAGAGCAUCAUUUCCAAGUCAUCAGCAGAGUCAGAAUACAGAGCUAUGGCAUUAGCUUGUUCAGAAUUAACCUGGAUCUGCUCAAUUCUUAAGGAACUGGACAUUAAACUUCAGAGCACUCCACUGUUGCUAAGUGAUAGCACAAGUGCAGCUGUUAUAGCUACGAAUCCAGUAAUGCAUUCUAAGACCAAACAUAUUGAAAUAUAUAUUCAUUUUGUGAGAGACAAAGUUGAAAGGAAAGAAGUUGAAAUUGCUUUUGUGUCUACCAAUGAUCAAGUUGCUGACAUACUAACUAAACCUCUUACAUAUCCUAAGUUUAGCUUCUUCAGAAGCAAACUUAAGGUCUUUCCAAAAGACUUAAGUUUGAGAAGGGGUGUUGAAUUCACUAGUGAAGCUGAACCAAAAAUUACUUCCUCGCUUUCAAAAUCUACUAUAGGAUAGGAUUGAUUUUGUCAAAAUUAAUUUCUAAAAAAAAUUUAUAAAUAUUAAAAUUCACUUUUAACUUUUUAAAAAUACUUUUAAAAAUUUCAAAAAUAAUUUCCAAUAAGCCUUUCCUAUUUGGAUUUUGGACCACCACAUUCGUGACAUUUGUGACGACAACAACUUUCACCAGCCCAAAACAACCUUUAGAGAAUUGUCCUUGGCAAUGGGGACACGACUCUUUUGGGACAAAUUGGCCAAAAGUUCAUGUCCAGAUUGCCCUAUAAGUCUAUGUCUUGGGCCACUCUUGGCAUUUUCUUUUUUCCCCUCAAAAGAUUUAACUAUGGUGUUAAUUGGGUCCACCAAAAAUUUCAUGUGUCAACGUAAAUGCAUGUGGACUACAUCCAUGUCAAUUGCAAUGAGAAUAAAUCAUGGAAUUUAAAAUAAAUUAUUCAUUUAAAAUAUAAGAACCGGAAUUGAAAUAAUAUGUAUUUUUAUUGAUGUGAUAAAUUUGUCUAAGAAUUAGAAUGGAUUGUUUUAAAUAACUAAACUGCUUUUAGUUAAUUAUGGUCAUUAUUAUUUUAAUUUAUAUAAUAAUUUUGAUUAUUAUUAUUAGUAUUAUAUUAACAACAAUUACAAGAAUAAGAAUAAGAAUAAUACGAUAAUAUAAUAAUAAUUUAAUUAAUAAAAAAGUUAGAGUUAUGAAAUUUAAAUGAGGUAAAAUAGAGAAUUCAACAUGAUUAAUAUGACUAAUAAAUGAACCACAUUCUUAUUUACUUAAAUUUAAUAUAUAUAGAUUGAUGUGAUAAUUAAUAACUAAAAUAAUUAUAUUGAACACUAAAUUAAUUACUCAUAUCAUAUCCAUAUUGUGUGAUAAAUUUAUUUAUGUCAUGUUAACUUAUUUAUGACCUAUUUUUAAGAAUAAUGUUCACAUACUUGUCAUUUUUUAAAAUAUUUUUUUAAUUUAUUAUUAAAUAAAUUAAAUGGGUCAACACGAUUAAUAUGGUUAAUAAACGGAUUGUAUCUGUGUUUUGAUAUUUUGAUACGAUUAAUAAAUAGGUCACAUCAACAUUUAUUUAAAUUUAACGCAACUUAAUUAUAUGAAUUGACACACCUAACUAAAACUAUUUUUUUUUCAAUAAACAAAAUGGGUUACCCAAUUAAAGCCUAUAUAUUUAUAUAUUUUUUGGGACCACAUUCCUUGCCUUUUGAAAAUACAUGGAAAAUUGAUUGUGUAGACCCUAGGCAAUGCCCAUGUUCAUUUAUUUAGGCCCAUUUUAGUAUUAUUGUAAUUUUUAAAAUAACUAUUGUUACAUGUGUUACAAAAAUAAUCAGUUAUGAUAAGAAUUAAAUAAAAAUUUAGUAAAA